AUGCUGUUAGAGUUCAAAAUAACAAGGAAAAAUGAUGGGGAAUUUACCUGCCUUGGAACAAAGUAUGACCCCACCUGUACUCUCAGCUCCUGCUCCCCUUCCAGCGUGGCUGUGACCUGGGCUGACAAUACCGCUUGGUGUCUCUGGACCUCAUAUCUACGUGGCUGCUGCACCCGGGUCCCCAGUACGUCCUGCUCUGGCCGCCUUCCCCGAGCAGUCUCAGGGCUGGGAGGCCUGGCCAUUCCACCGGGACUGCUCACCCUGGGAGCACCAGUCUCUACCUUGGGAGGAAGCAAGCUGCCACCAGAAUAAAAGCAGGGUGGAGCUGCUCCCACUCCAAGGCAAGAGCCUGCAAGGCCCAUCCUUUGGGGACUCGUCUUUUGUGUGAAGGCACAUUGUCUAGCAGAGGAAGAGGUUGGUACCUGGUGGAGCAGGGCCAAGAUUCCAUUUUCCCCAGGCAGCUCCCUCCUCUGCCUGCUGUAGCGCUGGCCAGGACUGGGAGAGGAGGGGGAGUGUGUUCAGCACUGCUGCUGGAACGGAGUGGCCCUCUCAGGAGGAUCCCGGUUGCUUCAGGACCUUGCUUUUGCACUGGUUUGUGUCCACAAAGGAAAGGCAUGCAGAAGGCAGAACCAUCACCCCAGCCCUGCAGUCAGGAGUCCAUCAGCUUUCCCCACAGUGAACGUGGUUAAGGUCUCCUUAACCAAAGGAAAACUCAGCACCACUACAGAUGUACAGAACAGCAAUUUAUCCACUCCGACACACUUUUCCCAUUAUGUGUCCAGAAGACUCCAAGUACUGACUUUACAUGUCCACAAGCGUGGCCAAAGCCACACAUACAGAGCAACACCAAGUUUUCAAGGUGUACCAAGAGAAACAAAGAUUUAAUAACAUUAUUUCUUAGACAACUGUUGGGGAUGAAGUCAAAUGUAAAGAAAAAAUGGAAAUGUAAAAAAUCAUGGAUGUUAGUGCACACAGAUAGAGAGUUUCUGCUUUUGAGCUCCGCAGAUGUUUUUUUCUUUCCUCUUUCCCUUCUUGUGUGAGCUGCCUUUGAGUCAGUUAUGUUAUGUUGAGCUCUUGUGGGCACAGAGCGGUACUGCCGCUGUGCCCCGACCGGGGCCCUGCCCCGCUCCGCUGGGUGACGGGGGGGAGGCGGCAGCGGGAGCUACGGCAGUUCCGCGGCUGCCGAGCCUGGGGAGGGAGUGAGCGGGGCGGUGUCUGUAAAUAGCAGGGAGGGGUGAAAUAGCGUUAAGUGUGUAAAGUGACACGGCUGGGAGCAGGGACACUGCGCUAAAAGGAGCGGCGGCCGUGCAGG
RNAcentral lists this long non-coding RNA (1312 nucleotides) under Cyanistes caeruleus (blue tit). Its description in RNAcentral is "lncRNA (ENSCCEG00000002581.1)". Lineage: Eukaryota; Metazoa; Chordata; Aves; Passeriformes; Paridae. The record is from RNAcentral.